AUGUGUAUUCCAAAGAGCCAAGAUGGCAUGAAAUUUAGGGACAUCCACUGUUUUAACCUUGCUUUAUUGGCAAAACAAGCUUGGCGUCUUAUUGAUGGUCCUGAACCAUUAUCUGCUACUAUCCUCAAGGCUAUGUAUUAUCCUGAUGGAGAUCUGUUAAAUGCUACCCUCAAGGCAGAGUAUUAUGGCAGGUGUGGAUGUUAUUAA
This 207-nucleotide ribosomal RNA is filed under the name Triticum aestivum (bread wheat). RNAcentral describes it as "partial small subunit ribosomal RNA". Lineage: Eukaryota; Viridiplantae; Streptophyta; Magnoliopsida; Poales; Poaceae. The record is from RNAcentral.